UCUAUCUAUCUAUCUAUCUAUCUAUCUAUCUAUCUAUUGUUAGACACCUUAUUUAUAUAGGUUAGUUAUUUAGCGACGCACCAUAGGAGACGCAUAUUGAACGGGACUAGUGACGUUUGGGAUAUGUUGGGUUAGAGACCGGAAAAUCAGUUAGCGAUAGAACACUCCAGGGUAACGACGUGUUUAGUGACAGAGACUUCUACUGUGGCCCUUUUAUCAGAAUAAAUCUAUGUACAAUUGUUCAUCAGAGUCGACUACAUCUCUUCACUUGUUAAAAACAGAUGUACUUGUUUUUGUCUGACUUGUUGUUCAACUACACGUAAUACACCCGAACAAUUAUACCCAAACGCUUGCUGAGUAAUUGGUUGACUUCAAGACAGCCUGAAUAAGCAACAUCACAGUGGCGACCCCGAACCUCGAAGCCGGACCCCUGAUGAAGCCGAACAUCGAACCGGACCUCGAAGCAGAACGUUUACUCAGGUGAGGGUCGUGCACUCGAAGUUAUAAGAUUUCAUCGGAGUACGGCUGAACACAGCAUCAUCGCAGAGUGACUUUGUUCUGGAUCUACAAGCAGUCAUCGCCUGUUUGAUCGCACGUUCAACGAGCCGUUAACUCAGGGUGACCUUCGUCAGGACAGUAAUCAUCGCAACGUCUGGUUGAGUAGACUUAACCAGUAUAUUAUCAAAGCCUGAUCUUCAUAUGCUGAAUCGACCUACAACCAGAGAAACCGUUCAUUCAUAACGGGUGAGAGAUCGUUAGUGAACCUGUUGGACAUAUUUUUUCUUCGUCAUAGGAGCCACAUAGAGUAUCAAGUUUUACCUCGUCAGUUUCGAGAAGGACAGUUUGCCCGCUGUCAGAAGUAUUGUGAGUACUACAAGUUUGGUAGCUAACUAAAUCGCUCUGUCGUCUUACCCUUGGAGAGAUUCUUGUGGAGCAGUUUGCUCAUUGAACCGGUUGCUUACCACGUUUAUAACGGUCACUGUGUUUAACCUUUGGAAGGUUAGUGAAGUAAUCUUUAUCAGUACUGAACAUUGAUAUAUUUAGUAUUCGUCGGUCUAGACCAUACCUAGACUUGUUAGCAGUGAAGUUGUGGAAACAGCUACAUCCACUUAAUUUCGUUGAAAACCGUUAAUCGUGUAACGGAACGUCGUCGGAGGUGACCUUGGUUUCACCUAGUCUACAUUGGACAGUUUGGUCUAGUGAAGCAGAGUACAACAGCAAACUUCGUCGUACUACCAGAGUAGCAGCAGAAGCAGUGAACUAUUUUAGAAAAUCGUUAUUCGUCAGUCGUCCAGAUCAAGUUGCCGUCAAGAGACUGUUAUUUGUCAGUAGUCGUCUACACAAGUCAAGUCAUCGCCAAAAGAACCGUUAACCUAUUCGUCAGUAACUGUGUACACAAAGUCGUCAGAACUACACAUACGGUCAUCAACAGUCGUCAAAGAAACUGAAACAUUUUGCUGUGGCAUAUCAGGACAUCUGUGGCAUUACGUGGGAUACUGGUAGCACCGGAGAACAGAGUCAGAACUGGAAGAGAGGCAGUGGAAUUUGUUGUGAUCUAGCAUAUUCGGGAGUCCGAACAAAGGGAUCUUUCUUAUCAAAAGCUAAGUGCCAUUUUUCUUAUUAGUGUAUGUUUAGAUUGCCCUUAGAAAUAGAUUUUGUCUAAAUUUGGUAUGUUAGCCUGAGUAAAAUCAGGUGGUGCUGAAGCCUUAAACCCGUUCGGGGUAAAGACAUAAUUUAGAUGAAAAGCUAUAUUAUACGUUUAGGGUUGUAAUUUGUUUUGUUUGUAUAAACGUCAUAUCCGUUGUUGCCUAGUUACUUCGUGACGUUAUCAUUGUGUGCCAUAUUGUCAUAUCCCAACCCAUAGCGAUAGUCUCAUUUAAUUAUUUCAUUUGUUUAUAUUAUUUUAAAUUAUUUAUUUUUAUUAAUUUAAUUAGAUCUGUAUUUUUUUUCACUUAAUGAUAGAAAGUGCGGGUAGGAUUCUUUUACUGUAAAUCAGACUAAAAUAAUUUUAGUUUGAGCGGUUAAAAUCAAAUAGGAUUUUGCCAUGAGAAUAAUGCCGAAACUGGCUAUGUAGUCAAACACUAUCGUCUGGCUAAAUAUAGAUCUACAAAUUUUUGUACAUCUCUUUGGUACAAUUAAAUCAUCUAGACUCUAAUUUGAAAUAUUAUUAAUUGAAAAAUGAAUGAAGAUUACUGCCAGUGAAGAACAUUUGUGAGUGUAUGACGUGCCCAUAAGAUGCCACAUUUUCCUCCAUGAUGAACUGUGUACUAAUGAAGAUGAUUCUGGAAUGUUAUGAACAUUGACAUUGAAUAUGAGGAACUGUCAAGUAAGGAUGAAGAUGUCAAGAUGAAGAUGUCAAGAUUUUAUGUUUGUUGUCUUCCCCUUAAAUUGAAAAUGCCCUUGUAAGACUUGACAGUAGUGGAAAAA
Molecule: long non-coding RNA, 2427 nt
Organism: Biomphalaria glabrata
Lineage: Eukaryota; Metazoa; Mollusca; Gastropoda; Planorbidae
Exons: 2
Source: RefSeq, a predicted model, not a curated record